CUUGCUGUUGCCAUCCUUGGGUGGAACCUGUGUGGCAUUAGGUUGUCGUGCAGGGGAUGCCCAUCAUUUACUGUGAAAAAAUUAGAGUGUUCAAAGCAGGCUUAUGCCGUUGAAUAUAUUAGCAUGGAAUAAUGAGAUAGGACUUUUUUGCUAUUUUGUUGGUUUGCGCAAAGAGGUAAUGAUUAAUAGGGACAGUUGGGGGUAUUCGUAUUCCAUUGUCAGAGGUGAAAUUCUUGGAUUUUUGGAAGACGAACUACUGCGAAAGCAUUUACCAAGGAUGUUUUCAUUAAUCAAGAACGAAAGUUAGGGGAUCGAAGAUGAUUAGAUACCAUCGUAGUCUUAACCGUAAACUAUGCCGACUUGC
RNAcentral lists this ribosomal RNA (364 nucleotides) under uncultured marine stramenopile. Its description in RNAcentral is "SSU rRNA". It matches the Rfam family "Eukaryotic small subunit ribosomal RNA", at positions 685 to 1050 of the family's 1831-position model. The record is from RNAcentral.